UAUCGGGUGGCCGAGAUAUAGGCAUUAAGCCUUUAACUUAACCAGGGUACAACUAUUACCCCCGAUAA
This 68-nucleotide transfer RNA is filed under the name Nucula nucleus. RNAcentral's name for it is "tRNA-Lys". The record is from RNAcentral. Lineage: Eukaryota; Metazoa; Mollusca; Bivalvia; Nuculida; Nuculidae.